CUCUUGACGUUAGCGGCGGACGGGUUAGUAACACGUGGGUAACCUACCUAUAAGACUGGGAUAACUUCGGGAAACCGGAGCUAAUACCGGAUAAUAUUUCGAACCGCAUGGUUCGAUAGUGAAAGGUGGUUUUGCUAUCACUUAUAGAUGGACCCGCGCCGUAUUAGCUAGUUGGUAAGGUAACGGCUUACCAAGGCGACGAUACGUAGCCGACCUGAGAGGGUGAUCGGCCACACUGGAACUGAGACACGGUCCAGACUCCUACGGGAGGCAGCAGGA
This 279-nucleotide ribosomal RNA is filed under the name uncultured Staphylococcus sp. RNAcentral describes it as "partial 16S ribosomal RNA". It matches the Rfam family "Bacterial small subunit ribosomal RNA", at positions 83 to 354 of the family's 1533-position model. The record is from RNAcentral. Lineage: Bacteria; Bacillati; Bacillota; Bacilli; Caryophanales; Staphylococcaceae.